GACGAACGCUGGCGGCGUGCCUAAUACAUGCAAGUCGAACGCAGUGGGGACGGGUGAGUAACACGUGGGUAACCUCCCAUCAGAGGGGAUAACACUUGGAAACAGGUGCUAAACCGAUACUGAUGGAUGGACCCGCGGUGCAUGAGCUAGUUGGUGAGGUAACGGCUCACCAAGGCCACGCUGCAUAGCCGACCUAGUAUGAUAAUCGUCCACACGGGGACUGAGACGCGGCCCGUACUCCUAAGUGAGGCACAAGUAGUGAAUAUUCGGCAAUGGACGAAAGUCGGACCGAGCAACGCAGCGGGAGUGAAGAAGGUUUUCGGAUCGUAAAACUCUGUUGUUAGAGAAGCGGUAUCUAACCAGAAAGCCACGGCUAACUACGUGCCAGCAGCCGCGGUAAUUC
RNAcentral lists this ribosomal RNA (403 nucleotides) under uncultured bacterium. RNAcentral describes it as "partial 16S ribosomal RNA". It matches the Rfam family "Bacterial small subunit ribosomal RNA", at positions 28 to 526 of the family's 1533-position model. The record is from RNAcentral.